UGGGGAAUAUUGCACAAUGGGCGCAAGCCUGAUGCAGCCAUGCCGCGUGUGUGAAGAAGGCCUUCGGGUUGUAAAGCACUUUCAGCGGGGAGGAAGGGAGUAAAGUUAAUACCUUUGCUCAUUGACGUUACCCGCAGAAGAAGCACCGGCUAACUCCGUGCCAGCAGCCGCGGUAAUACGGAGGGUGCAAGCGUUAAUCGGAAUUACUGGGCGUAAAGCGCACGCAGGCGGUUUGUUAAGUCAGAUGUGAAAUCCCCGGGCUCAACCUGGGAACUGCAUCUGAUACUGGCAAGCUUGAGUCUCGUAGAGGGGGGUAGAAUUCCAGGUGUAGCGGUGAAAUGCGUAGAGAUCUGGAGGAAUACCGGUGGCGAAGGCGGCCCCCUGGACAAAGACUGACGCUCAGGUGCGAAAGCGUGGGGAGCAAACAGG
This 429-nucleotide ribosomal RNA is filed under the name Chloroflexota bacterium. RNAcentral's name for it is "Chloroflexi bacterium partial 16S ribosomal RNA". It matches the Rfam family "Bacterial small subunit ribosomal RNA", at positions 355 to 776 of the family's 1533-position model. The record is from RNAcentral. Lineage: Bacteria; Bacillati; Chloroflexota.